Molecule: RNA transcript, 1218 nt
Organism: Ipomoea triloba (trilobed morning glory)
Lineage: Eukaryota; Viridiplantae; Streptophyta; Magnoliopsida; Solanales; Convolvulaceae
Exons: 5
Source: RefSeq, a predicted model, not a curated record
CCUUUCUCUCUUAACAACGCAGUUCCACUCUUCCACUUCCACAGCCGAUAACCAUUUUCCACAACAAUUUCUUUUCUCUCAAAAUGAGAGUUCACCGCCAAAGCUUUUUCUCUCUUUCAAGACAACCCUUCUCUCUCUUCUUUUUCUCUUCCAGAGCGAAGGACGGCGAUGACCGGCAUGGGACUAUGGAUCUAGAAGAACCGUCGGUGGCAAAAGCGAGAACAAGUGCAAAGAAGGCAUUUCUGAUAGACUCUACAAAUCUCAGCUCCAUAGAUCUGCGAGAAUCACCAUCUGCGACCAUCUACCAGCGAUGACCUGCGACAAUGGUUUCGCAUUUCUGUUUUUUCCAUUCUGGAGACCUUAAUUAGGUAUUCCAGUUGCUUGAAAUGAGGAUUUUAUGGCACUCAUUUGCACUGCUAACAUUAGGAAGAAGAAAUAAAAUGUUUUGAUUUUAAAAUCAUUGCAGGUGAUUAAGUGAUGGGCUUUGGAAUGUCUUGGCAAAUAAGGUUAGCACCUUUCGAGCCUUCCAUUGAUUGGUCUACUGCAAGAGCUAAUGCAACAAAACUUAUAGUGUUCACAUGUCACUGUAAGGUUGUCUUUGAGUGUGAAUGAUACCAAAUUGACUAAAUAAUCCUUGACUAGCAUCUAAUGUUUGAUAGAAGUCAUUUUCAUAAUGUGUAAACAUUAGUUUGUUGAUAGAAAUACUAUUAUAAAACUGUUUAUUGUUAUUUUUUUCUUGGAAAUUUUCUGCUCUAGGGGAUUGUAGAUAUCUGAUGGAGUGAUAAAUUGAAUGAUAAUGAUAAACUGCAUGAUAAUGAGCUUUCUUUUUUUUGGUCUGUGCAAGCAUAAGGUGUGUACCUUAUAUUGAAAAUAUGGUGUCUAUUUACAAAAGAUUGGAUGCUGCAUUUGUUGCCAAUGUCUCUUUGUCAUUGUCUUCAGAGCAUUCUAUUAACUGUACCAGCUGCAGGAAGAUCAUUGGAGCAGUCUCAACAUGUCAAUUCAUUUGCAAAUCUUGACUUCACACUUCCUCCUAAAGUCCAAUGAAAUGUUGGUGGCAGUAUGCAAAUACUACGUAAUAGUUUGGAGAGAUGUAAUAGUUUGGAGAUUGAAUCAUAAGUUAAAUUCCAGAAUUUAAGAUUUUGACUUUUAAAUUUUCUACUUUAUAUUCAUGAAUGAUUUCUCUUGAAGCCUAUGAAAUGUGUAUAUGGUUUUCUCAAA